GGCGGUUAGAUAAGUNUGAAGUUAAAGGCUGUGGCUUAACCAUAGUAUGCUUUGGAAACUGUUUAACUUGAGUGCAGAAGGGGAGAGUGGAAUUCCAUGUGUAGCGGUGAAAUGCGUAGAUAUAUGGAGGAACACCGGUGGCGAAAGCGGCUCUNUGGUCUGUAACUGACGCUGAGGCUCGAAAGCGUGGGGAGCAAACAGGAUUAGGUACCCUGGUAGUCCACGCCGUAAACGAUGAGUGCUAGGUGUUAGGCCCUUUCCGGGGCUUAGUGCCGCAGCUAACGCAUUAAGCACUCCGCCUGGGGAGUACGACCGCAAGGUUGAAACUCAAAGGAAUUGACGGGGGCCCGCACAAGCGGUGGAGCAUGUGGUUUAAUUCGAAGCAACGCGAAGAACCUUACCAGGUCUUGACAUCCCUCUGACCGCUCUAGAGAUAGAGUUUUCCUUCGGGACAGAGGUGACAGGUGGUGCAUGGUUGUCGUCAGCUCGUGUCGUGAGAUGUUGGGUNNNNNNNNNNNNNCGAGCGCAACCCCUAUUGUUAGUUGCCAUCAUUGAGAUGGGCACUCUAGCGAGACUGCCGGUAAUAAACNGGAGGAAGGUGGGGAUGACGUCAAAUCAUCAUGCCCCUUAUGACCUGGGCUACACACGUGCUACAAUGGCUGGUACAACGAGUCGCAAGCCGGUGACGGCAAGCUAAUCUCUGAAAGCCAGUCUCAGUUCGGAUUGUAGGCUGCAACUCGCCUACAUGAAGUCGGAAUCGCUAGUAAUCGCGGAUCAGCACGCCGCGGUGAAUACGUUCCCGGGCCU
RNAcentral lists this ribosomal RNA (807 nucleotides) under uncultured bacterium. RNAcentral describes it as "bacterial SSU rRNA". It matches the Rfam family "Bacterial small subunit ribosomal RNA", at positions 574 to 1381 of the family's 1533-position model. The record is from RNAcentral.